This 253-nucleotide ribosomal RNA is filed under the name uncultured bacterium. RNAcentral's name for it is "partial 16S ribosomal RNA". It matches the Rfam family "Bacterial small subunit ribosomal RNA", at positions 524 to 776 of the family's 1533-position model. The record is from RNAcentral.
UACAGGGGGUGCAAACGUUGCUCGGAAUCAUUGGGCGUAAAGCGCGCGUAGGCGGCCCGGUAAGUCCGUUGUGAAAGUCAAAGGCUCAACCUUUGAACGCCGAUGGAUACUGCCGGGCUAGAGUCCGGAAGAGGCGAGUGGAAUUCCUGGUGUAGCGGUGGAAUGCGCAGAUAUCAGGAGGAACACCAGCGGCGAAGGCGGCGCUCUGGGCCGGUACUGACGCUGAGGAGCGAAAGCGUGGGGAGCAAACAGG